RNAcentral lists this ribosomal RNA (433 nucleotides) under uncultured bacterium. RNAcentral describes it as "partial 16S ribosomal RNA". It matches the Rfam family "Bacterial small subunit ribosomal RNA", at positions 29 to 507 of the family's 1533-position model. The record is from RNAcentral.
AACGAACGCUGGCGGCAUGCCUAACACAUGCAAGUCGAACGGGACCUUCGGGUUUAGGGGCGCAGGGGUGAGUAAGGACUGGGGACCUGCCCUUAGGUACGGAACAACUCCCCGAAAGAGGUGCUAAUACAGGAGAAGGUCUUCCGACAAAAGAUUUAUCGCCUUUGGCUGGGCCCGCGUUGGCUUCGCUAGUUGGUAGGGUAAAAGCCUCCCAAUGACACGAUGCAUACCUGGUAGUACAAGAAGAUCAGCCACACUUGGACUGAGACACGGCCCAGACUCCUACGGAUCGCGGCGGUGUUGUAUAUUGAGGUAUGUGCGAAACCGUGGCCCAGCAAUGUGGCGUAAGAGAUGAAGGCCUUAGGGUAGCAAAGCUCUUUUUCCCGGGAUGAUAAUGACAGUACCGGGAAAAUAAGCUCCGGCUAACUCCGUG